CCAGUAUUGAAAUUGAUCCGGCUGAGA
RNAcentral lists this small RNA (27 nucleotides) under Bombyx mori (domestic silkworm). Its description in RNAcentral is "ovarian small RNA-13578". Lineage: Eukaryota; Metazoa; Arthropoda; Insecta; Lepidoptera; Bombycidae. The record is from RNAcentral.